This 305-nucleotide ribosomal RNA is filed under the name Orbicella faveolata. RNAcentral's name for it is "eukaryotic LSU rRNA". It matches the Rfam family "Eukaryotic large subunit ribosomal RNA", at positions 43 to 343 of the family's 3401-position model. RNAcentral also lists the same sequence under 2 other names. The record is from RNAcentral. Lineage: Eukaryota; Metazoa; Cnidaria; Anthozoa; Scleractinia; Merulinidae.
UUAAUAAGCGGAGGAAAAGAAACUAACAAGGAUUCCCUCAGUAACGGCGAGUGAAGCGGGAAGAGCUCAAAUUUGAAAUCUCCGAUGCCUGCAUCGGCGAGUUGUAGUUGCGAGAAGCACUUUCUAGGUGGAUCGGCGGUGCCUAAGUUGCUUGGAACAGCAGGUCGCAGAGGGUGACAACCCCGUCUGUGGCGCCGCCGGCCGCUGACGAUGUGCUUUCGAAGAGUCGGGUUGUUUGGGAAUGCAGCCCAAAAUGGGUGGUAAACUCCAUCUAAAGCUAAAUACUGGCGUGAGACCGAUAGCGA